Molecule: ribosomal RNA, 275 nt
Filed under: uncultured bacterium
Lineage: Bacteria
Description: partial 16S ribosomal RNA
Rfam family: Bacterial small subunit ribosomal RNA
Source: RNAcentral
CCUACGGGUGGCUGCAGUGGGGAAUUUUGGACAAUGGGCGAAAGCCUGAUCCAGCAAUGCCGCGUGAGUGAAGAAGGCCUUCGGGUUGUAAAGCUCUUUCAGUCGAGAAGAAAAAGCUAUAUUAAAUAAAUAUAGCUAAUGACGGUAUCGAAAGAAGAAGCACCGGCUAACUACGUGCCAGCAGCCGCGGUAAUACGUAGGGUGCAAGCGUUAAUCGGAAUUACUGGGCGUAAAGGGUGCGCAGGCGGUACUGUAAGUCAGAUGUGAAAUCCCCG